RNAcentral lists this transfer RNA (73 nucleotides) under Chloroflexota bacterium. Its description in RNAcentral is "Chloroflexi bacterium tRNA-Val". It matches the Rfam family "tRNA". From Rfam's summary of the family: Transfer RNA (tRNA) molecules are approximately 80 nucleotides in length. Their secondary structure includes four short double-helical elements and three loops (D, anti-codon, and T loops). Lineage: Bacteria; Bacillati; Chloroflexota. The record is from RNAcentral. RNAcentral also lists the same sequence under 2 other names.
GGGCGCUUAGCUCAGCUGGUAGAGCGUCUGCUUUACACGCAGAAUGUCGGGAGUUCGAGUCUCUCAGCGCCCA